CCUACGGGAGGCAGCAGUGAGGAAUAUUGGUCAAUGGACGGAAGUCUGAACCAGCCAUGCCGCGUGCAGGAAGACGGCCCUAUGAGUUGUAAACUGCUUUUGUACAAGGGUAAAACUGUACACGUGUAGUCAGCUGAAAGUACUGUAUGAAUAAGGAUCGGCUAACUCCGUGCCAGCAGCCGCGGUAAUACGGAGGAUCCAAGCGUUAUCCGGAUUUAUUGGGUUUAAAGGGUGCGUAGGUGGAUUGAUAAGUUAGAUGUGAAAUGUCCGGGCUCAACUGGGAAAUUGCCUUUGAUACUGUUAGUCGUGAGGGUAGAUGAGGUAGGCGGAAUGUAUGGUGUAGCGGUGAAAUGCUUAGAGAUCAUACAGAACACCGAUUGCGAAGGCAGCUUACCAGACUAUAUCUGACGUUGAGGCUCGAAAGCGUGGGGAGCAAACAGGAUUAGAUACCCUAGUAGUC
Molecule: ribosomal RNA, 460 nt
Filed under: uncultured bacterium
Lineage: Bacteria
Description: partial 16S ribosomal RNA
Rfam family: Bacterial small subunit ribosomal RNA
Source: RNAcentral